UCGAAAUGAUAGACACAGUGACAGCUGGGAACGCAGUUCUGUACAUAAUUAAUGAACUGUCGUGGGAAAAUAGAUCGAGAAUACUUAUCCCCAUUCACCUUCUUCCAGAAAUCAUAUAUCUUAUGUUUGAUGUGUUCACAAGCUAUGGUUUCUGAAAGGACAAUUGAUAAAAGACACCAUGUAGGAUUAGUAAUUAUAAAAGUACAUCCGUUAUUUUGAUAAUUGCUCCAUCCAAAAACAACGUUAAGGCUCACCAUCUCGAUUUAGUCCAUAUAUAACCGUACAUCUAUUGAAGCUGAUCAACAGUUAAUGCUCAUUACAAAUCGUAAAAUUACUGAUGUGCCAUUCGUAUUAGAACAAAUGGAAUGAGAAAAUCGAGUUUUCGUUUCUUUCAUCUCUUUUCAAUCCAUCUCUCUCAAUCGGGAAUAAUGAAGAAUUACUGAUUUAAUUAAGCAGAAGAAUCUAAAAAGAAUAGAAGACAUCACAAAGACAGUAAUGAAGAAUUGAAGUUCAUGUGUGAAUCUAAGAAGAAGUCUUUCAUUUUGUUCUUCAGUUUGGGAACUGUUCUAUAGAUUACCUUCUGGAAUGAAUUUGAGGUUCAAAGAGAAAUUUUAGUUUUUUAUUUUUUUGUACCAAUUUAGGGUUUUUUCUGUAUGAAAUUAGAGCAUGGGUUUGCUGUAAUUUACAUCGGAUUAUUAGCUUCAAUUGAAUCAAUUGACUUGUUCUGGUUUGUAAUUGUAAAGCUAGGGUUCCGCAUGAUGAAAUUUAGGGGUUUUCCCAUAUCUGUUCUUAAUGUCAAAAGUUCAAAUUAAUGAA
This is a long non-coding RNA of Papaver somniferum (opium poppy), 816 nucleotides long. RefSeq lists it as uncharacterized. NCBI's taxonomy places the organism in Eukaryota, Viridiplantae, Streptophyta, Magnoliopsida, Ranunculales, Papaveraceae. The transcript has 2 exons. The record is from RefSeq and is a predicted model, not a curated record.